UGUCCUGUUUUGUUUUAUAGCUAUAAGAAACUGGCUGAGAAUAAAGAAGCUGAAUUUGUUAACCCUUCACCCCUUAAGAUGAAUCCAAAUGUUAUGUCUCAAGAAGCACAAAAUGUGAAUCAAUUUUUGGACAAAAAUGAAGAGCAUAUAGUGUUACAAAAGUCAACAAAUGAAGGUACAGAAAAUAACUGUCCAAGAGUAAAUACUGUGGAAGAACAAAUAGAUAAAAUGUACCUUUAUAUUUUGAAGAAAAAAAAUCUGUUAGUCCUUGAUAAUUACCCGAGGAUGACAAAAUACAUAAGACUUUUAGAUCUCGACUGAUUUCUGGAGAAGCAGGGGCUGGGACUGGUACACAGCUACCACACAGGAAGGACAGAAGUGCCCUUCCUUGUUUAAAAGAACACCCCAGAGUGGAUUAUAUGCAUCAGUGAGGAGCUCAGACUAUGGCAAACCCAGCUCACCAUUCAAGACAUUUUCUACUCUUGAAAAGAGAACUUCAAAGAGCAUUAUGAAAAGCAAAAUCUUGAGAUCCAUCCCUGCCUCAAAUCAAGCUAGGAAAAAAGAUAAACAAACUCCCAACAUUUCUGAAGUUUACUUUAUCCAAAUUCAUUCAUAUAACAUGUGUUUUUGGGCACCGACCUGGGUCUAGGCACUGUUGGACGCCCUCUAGGUACGUUGGUAAACAAGGCAGCGCCACGUCCCCUCCCCCAUCUCGUGGAGUUGUCAUCUGAUGAGGAGGGACAGACACUUAACAACAAGGAUACAAAUCAGUAAAUGAUGUUACAUGCUAAGGAGAAAUAGAAAGCAGAGCAAGAGUGUCAGUGGAGUCCAGCAGGUCACCACUUGAAAUAAGAUAGCGUCGGCCUCAGUGAGAGAGCCCUUUGAACGAAGACUUGUAGGAGUAAUUGGGAUUAGCUGUGUGGGUGUGUGUGGGAAGCAUAUUCCAGAAAAAUGAAACAGUCAGUCCAAAAGUCCCAAAGAGGGAGGAAUGCCUGGCAUUUUGGGGGUCAACAUAGAAGCCCACAUGGCUGGGGCAGAGUGGGCAGAGAGGGGAGGGGGAGGGGAGAUCGGGCAUCACAGGGACAGGCACGGUCGGCUUUUCUAGGGCAUUAAGCAGCCUUGGGCUUUCAUUCAGUGUGGAAAGGUGAGCACCUGGGAAGUUGUGAGCAUGGCAGUGACUUCACCUGAUGUAUCCUUUAGAUAGAUUUCUCGGGCUGAUGCCAUUGAACAUAUGCUCACAAAUAUAGACACACACCAUAGAGGCAUAGGAAGAAGCACAGAGACCAGUUAAAAGAGGAUUUGAGGAAUCCGGGCUGGGAGUGAUGGGGCCCAAUCCAGGGUGGUGGCAGUGGUGGUAAUGAGAAGCUAUUGGAUGGGGAUG
This is a non-coding RNA of Vicugna pacos (alpaca), 1381 nucleotides long. The record is from RefSeq and is a predicted model, not a curated record. Lineage: Eukaryota; Metazoa; Chordata; Mammalia; Artiodactyla; Camelidae.